UUAAGUCAGGCAACAAGCGAGAUCCCUGCCUCUAGUUGCUACUAAUGCUCUCAGGAGUAUUGGGGCUAAUUAGAGGGACUGCCGUCGCUGAGACGGAGGAAGGAGGGGGCUACGGCAGGUCAGUAUGCCCCGAAACCCUCGGGCCACACGCGGGCUGCAAUGGUAAGGACAAUAAGUUCCAAUUCCGAAAGGAGAAGGCAAUCUCUAAACCUUACCUCAGUUAUGAUUGAGGGCUGAAACUCGUCCUCAUGAAUAUGGAAUCCCUAGUAACCGCGUGUCACUAUCGCGCGGUGAAUACGUCCCUGCUCCUUGCACA
Molecule: ribosomal RNA, 316 nt
Filed under: uncultured archaeon
Lineage: Archaea
Description: bacterial SSU rRNA
Rfam family: Archaeal small subunit ribosomal RNA
Source: RNAcentral